GGAAGGAUCAUUAACAAGUCUGUGGGUGUAUGUGGAUGAUAUUCAUAGUAUAUGAAUAUGUGUACAUGUACACCACAACAUAUGCUCUCCAGCAGUUGUCUGGGUUGCACAAUGAUAAAAGCUUAUAUUGUACAGUAUAUUGUGUGGUUGUAUAUUAUAUUUUGUAUGUUUGUACAUCAAGUACACUUGUACUCAAUGUACCAUCAAUCACUGUCACAUGGAAAGAAAAAAAACACUUUUAACAACGGAUCUCUUGGCUCUCGCAACGAUGAAGAACGCAGUAAAGUGCGAAAAGUAAUGCGAAUUGCAUACUCUGUGAGUCAUCUAAUCUUUGAACGCAAAUGGCACUGCCACGUCAAGUGAUAGUAUGCCUGUUUGAGAACCACAUAAACGAUGACCAUCAGUUGAUGGUUGAUGUGCCCCGUGUGAUAUGAUUAUAGUUCACUCGGGCUAAAUAAAUGUACUCGAUGGGUGACUAACUAGUCCUCAUAACAAUGUGAUAAUCAUUCAUUGUUAUAGUCAUAUUUGGUCACCAAAACACUGAGUAAACGUAUACAUGAUAUAUCAUAUAUCAUCAUCACAAACACCAACGGUCUCAAAUCAGGCAAGGCUACCCGCUGAACUUAAGCAUAUCAGUAAGCGGAGGAAAAGAAACUAACAAGGAUUCCCGUAGUAACGGCGAGUGAAGUGGGAAUAGCUCAAAUUUAAAAUCUGACCCUCCAUGGGAGAGUCCGAAUUGUAGUCUAAAGAGGUGCUAUCGCGAGGGAGACCGGUGCACAAGUGUCCUGGAAUGGACCAUCACAGAGGGUGAGAAUCCCGUUUGGGCAUGGUCAACCGAGCAAUAAGAGACACACUCAAAGAGUCGAGUUGUUUGGGAAUGCAGCUCAAAAGGGGUGGUAAACUUCAUCCAAGGCUAAAUAUAGGCGAGAGACCGAUAGCGAACAAGUACCGUGAGGGAAAGAUGAAAAGCACCUUGAAAAGGGAGUUAAACAGCGCGUGAAAUUGUUAAAAGGGAAACGAUUGAAGGCAGCAUUGUACGUAUAUCCCGGGACAGGUGUGAGGAGUGUCGAGUGGAGCGCAAGCCCAGUCGGUGCGGGGAAGCCUGGAUUGGGGACGUGCGAGUCAGGACCGCUUCGGGUUGCCUUUGAAGACUUGGGGAAGGUACUCACCACCAGUAAUGGGGUGAACUUAUAGCCGCAAGGGAUGGGGUGAACUGGAGGUGGAAAGCCGGUGGGGAGAGUGUCGGACUGUAGGAGGGACAGAUCUCGGACUGCAUGCAGACUGUAGAUGCUGUUGGCCGACACGAGGACACAUCAGCCCACCGGGCAAAUCAUGACGAAAUGGCUUUAAACGACCCGUCUUGAAACACGGACCAAGGAGUCUAACAUGUAUGCGAGUGUUUGGGUGGAAAAGUCGAACGCGCAAUGAAAGUGUAAUGUGUGGGAACACAAAGGUGUGGGCACCAUGGACCGAUCCGGAUAACUAUUGAAGGAUUCGAGUCAGAGCAUAAAUGUUGGGACCCGAAAGAUGGUGAACUAUGCCUGGAUAGGAUGAAGCCAGAGGAAACUCUGGUGGAGGUCCGCAGCCGUUCUGACGUGCAAAUCGAUGGUCAAAUCUGGGCAUAGGGGCGAAAGACUAAUCGAACCAUCUAGUAGCUGGUUCCCUC
RNAcentral lists this unclassified non-coding RNA (1666 nucleotides) under uncultured fungus. RNAcentral describes it as "sequence contains 18S rRNA gene, ITS1, 5.8S rRNA gene, ITS2, 28S rRNA gene". The stretch from base 591 to 1666 matches the Rfam family "Eukaryotic large subunit ribosomal RNA", at positions 1 to 961 of the family's 3401-position model. The record is from RNAcentral. Lineage: Eukaryota; Fungi.